RNAcentral lists this ribosomal RNA (491 nucleotides) under uncultured bacterium. RNAcentral's name for it is "partial 16S ribosomal RNA". It matches the Rfam family "Bacterial small subunit ribosomal RNA", at positions 29 to 506 of the family's 1533-position model. The record is from RNAcentral.
AGUGAACGCUGGCGGUAGGCCUAACACAUGCAAGUCGAACGGCAGCACAGUAAGAGCUUGCUCUUACGGGUGGCGAGUGGCGGACGGGUGAGGAAUACAUCGGAAUCUACUUUUUCGUGGGGGAUAACGUAGGGAAACUUACGCUAAUACCGCAUACGACCUACGGGUGAAAGCAGGGGAUCUUCGGACCUUGCGCGAUUGAAUGAGCCGAUGUCGGAUUAGCUAGUUGGCGGGGUAAAGGCCCACCAAGGCGACGAUCCGUAGCUGGUCUGAGAGGAUGAUCAGCCACACUGGAACUGAGACACGGUCCAGACUCCUACGGGAGGCAGCAGUGGGGAAUAUGGGACAAUGGGCGCAAGCCUGAUCCAGCCAUACCGCGUGGGUGAAGAAGGCCUUCGGGUUGUAAAGCCCUUUUGUUGGGAAAGAAAAGCAGCAGGUUAAUACCCCGCUGUUCUGACGGUACCCAAAGAAUAAGCACCGGCGAACUUCGU